CGAACGGGUGAGUAAUGAAUCGCUAACGUGCCCCGGACACUGGGAUAGCCGCCCGAAAGGACGGGUAAUACCAGAUGACAUGACCGACCCGCAUGGGUUGGUCCUCAAAGGUCCGCCGGUCUGGGAGCGGGCGAUUUCGUAUCAGCUAGUUGGUGCGGGUAACGGCCCACCAAGGCGACGACGCGUAGCCGGACUGAGAGGUUGGCCGGCCACAUUGGGACUGAGACACUGCCCAG
RNAcentral lists this ribosomal RNA (236 nucleotides) under uncultured bacterium. RNAcentral's name for it is "partial 16S ribosomal RNA". It matches the Rfam family "Bacterial small subunit ribosomal RNA", at positions 99 to 334 of the family's 1533-position model. The record is from RNAcentral.